RNAcentral lists this ribosomal RNA (254 nucleotides) under uncultured bacterium. Its description in RNAcentral is "partial 16S ribosomal RNA". It matches the Rfam family "Bacterial small subunit ribosomal RNA", at positions 524 to 776 of the family's 1533-position model. The record is from RNAcentral.
UACGAAGGGGGCUAGCGUUGUUCGGAAUCACUGGGCGUAAAGCGCACGUAGGCGGAUGUGUCAGUCAGGGGUGAAAUCCCGGAGCUCAACUUCGGAACUGCCUCCGAUACUGGGAGCCUUCGAGUCCGGGAGAGGUGAGUGGAACUGCGAGUGUAGAGGUGAAAUUCGUAGAUAUUCGCAAGAACACCAGUGGCGAAGGCGGCUCACUGGCCCGGUACUGACGCUGAGGUGCGAAAGCGUGGGGAGCAAACAGG